RNAcentral lists this ribosomal RNA (302 nucleotides) under uncultured bacterium. Its description in RNAcentral is "bacterial SSU rRNA". It matches the Rfam family "Bacterial small subunit ribosomal RNA", at positions 29 to 321 of the family's 1533-position model. The record is from RNAcentral.
AACGAACGCUGGCGGCGCGCCUAAUACAUGCAAGUCGAGCGAGAAGACGUAGCAAUACGUUUGUAAAGCGGCGAACGGGUGAGGAAUACAUGGGGUAACCUACCCUCGAGUGGGGAAUAACUAGCCGAAGGUUAGCUAAUACCGCGUACGCUCCUUGGACUUCGGUUCAGGGAGGAAAACGAUACCGUGGGUAUCGCGCUCUUGGAUGGGCUCAUGUCCUAUCAGCUUGUUGGUGAGGUAACGGCUCACCAAGGCUUCGACGGGUAGCUGGUCUGAGAGGACGAUCAGCCACACUGGCACUG